UUUAACUAUAGCUGCAUACAGGAAGUAGAAUUAAUGCAAUUCGAAAACAGGUGUAAUGCUGGCUCCGGUCAGUAUUUCUGUUGGAAAUUUGAAAGGGCGUACGGACAUUGAACUAUUACAAAAAAUCUAAUCCUUUGACCCCCAAUUUUCUCCAUUGCUGUUUAGUACUUGGUAAGUUACCAAUGUAAAAACAUGGUUUCCAGGCACCUUGCUUCUGCAGGAAAGUGGCAGUUUGUUGUUGAAACUGGCUUUAAAAGGCUCGGAAACACACAUAAUUCUGAUGUUUUGAUUUGAAAUAAUCAAUACUAAAACAUUUUGCCCCAACUCAUUUGAUUUGAAUGUUACUGAUUUUUCAGAAGGCACAGCCUCAAACAAUUCUGGCAAUGUGCUUGGUUUAUUUUCAGAUUUGCGAGGUGACCAGUUUCCAGACAUUGGUUCGCUCCUGCUUGUGUACGCGAUUGGCCGAGACUCAAAAAACUGUAGUGUGCCACCUUAAGGUUUUAGUCGUUUGCUUGUAAGGCAAGAUAAUCUCUGGAGAAGAACUAAAAUACGUCAACAGCCUUGUCAGCGGAAAGACACUCCGUUGCAGUUACUGAAGAUUUGCGAGGUGACCAGUUUCCAGACAUUGGUUCGCUCCUGCUUGUGUACGCGAUUGGCCGAGACUCAAAAAACUGUAGUGUGCCACCCUAGGGAAAUCUGAGUUACGUCUUCGGGACUGUCGACCAAUACUGCGGUAUCGAUGUCUCAAUAUUGCUUGACUACUG
Molecule: long non-coding RNA, 764 nt
Organism: Dreissena polymorpha
Lineage: Eukaryota; Metazoa; Mollusca; Bivalvia; Myida; Dreissenidae
Exons: 4
Source: RefSeq, a predicted model, not a curated record